RNAcentral lists this long non-coding RNA (803 nucleotides) under Astyanax mexicanus (Mexican tetra). Its description in RNAcentral is "lncRNA (ENSAMXG00005020731.1)". Lineage: Eukaryota; Metazoa; Chordata; Actinopteri; Characiformes; Acestrorhamphidae. The record is from RNAcentral.
CUACCUCAUGUUCCAACACUAGAACUGAAGAGACCUUUGGAUAGGUAGUGUGAACCUGGAGCAUUCAGAAUGGAUCCUUGAAAAUAGCGAACCUGCUUCAGACAGUGUGUGUAACGGCUCACAGUCCUACAUCCACCUCAAGAGACCUGCUUCUAACAACCUUAAACAAAUGCAGACAAAACCACACAUUACAGAGCAGAUAAGGUUCUUAUACCCUGAGGACUCACUGCUCCUGGCUCUCUCAGAGGAGCUUAAGGACUUGGAACUUCACUCAUUGGAAAGAAUUGAGAAGGAUAUUAGAACAGCUCUUGACACCUCCCGCAGAGGGACCAUCCACCAAUCAGAGCUGACCUACCUGUUCCUCAGGUGGAAGGUGCCUCUCAGGUUGCCCACCCUGGCAUCUCUCAUGAAAACCUUCUCUAGCUCCACCCACCCUGAGCAGGUGCUUUAUAAGGAGCUGCUGCAGUUCAUACAGAAAUUGAUUCAAAAUCAGGAGUUACGGGGAGGUAGGCCUGCAGUUUCAUAUGUUACUUUUUCAAGUUACCUCAUACAGCGUUUAUCUCACAUAGCACAAGUACACAAGCACAAGAUACCACACUAGAUAAACUUCAUGUAGUUAGAAACAGUGGUUUCAUGUCUUCCAUGUCAAUCCAUGUCUUUUUUUGGGACUACACAAAAUCCUGAUGUGUCAAAAACACAACAGAUGUUGGCCAGUCCAACCCUACUCUUAAACGUUUUGCCUGAAUAGGGUAUCUGCAGUUAUAGUAAAAUUAAAUAUAGCACCUUUCCAAUUUUUUAAUACC